This 762-nucleotide ribosomal RNA is filed under the name uncultured bacterium. RNAcentral's name for it is "bacterial SSU rRNA". It matches the Rfam family "Bacterial small subunit ribosomal RNA", at positions 771 to 1532 of the family's 1533-position model. The record is from RNAcentral.
AACAGGAUUAGAUACCCUGGUAGUCCACGCCGUAAACGAUGUCGACUUGGAGGCUGUUCCCUUGAGGAGUGGCUUCCGGAGCUAACGCGUUAAGUCGACCGCCUGGGGAGUACGGCCGCAAGGUUAAAACUCAAACGAAUUGACGGGGGCCCGCACAAGCGGUGGAGCAUGUGGUUUAAUUCGAUGCAACGCGAAGAACCUUACCUACUCUUGACAUCCAGAGAAUUUAGCAGAGAUGCUUUAGUGCCUUCGGGAACUCUGAGACAGGUGCUGCAUGGCUGUCGUCAGCUCGUGUUGUGAAAUGUUGGGUUAAGUCCCGCAACGAGCGCAACCCUUAUCCUUUGUUGCCAGCACGUAAUGGUGGGAACUCAAAGGAGACUGCCGGUGAUAAACCGGAGGAAGGUGGGGAUGACGUCAAGUCAUCAUGGCCCUUACGAGUAGGGCUACACACGUGCUACAAUGGCGCAUACAAAGAGAAGCGACCUCGCGAGAGCAAGCGGACCUCAUAAAGUGCGUCGUAGUCCGGAUUGGAGUCUGCAACUCGACUCCAUGAAGUCGGAAUCGCUAGUAAUCGUAAAUCAGAAUGUUACGGUGAAUACGUUCCCGGGCCUUGUACACACCGCCCGUCACACCAUGGGAGUGGGUUGCAAAAGAAGUAGAUAGCUUAACCUUCGGGAGGGCGUUUACCACUUUGUGAUUCAUGACUGGGGUGAAGUCGUAACAAGGUAACCGUAGGGGAACCUGCGGCUGGAUCACCUCCUU